Molecule: ribosomal RNA, 454 nt
Filed under: uncultured bacterium
Lineage: Bacteria
Description: SSU rRNA
Rfam family: Bacterial small subunit ribosomal RNA
Source: RNAcentral
AGGAUGAACGCUGGCGGCGUGCCUAACACAUGCAAGUCGAGCGGUAAGGCCUCUUCGGAGGUACACGAGCGGCGGACGGCUGAGUAACGCGUAGGAACCUACCCCAAACUGAGGGAUAAGCACCAGAAAUGGUGUCUAAUACCGCAUGUGCUCUUCGGAGUAAAGCUUCGGCGGUUUGGGAAGGGCCUGCGUCCGAUUAGCUUGUUGGUAAGGUAAAAGCUUACCAAGGCGACGAUCGGUAGCUGGUCUGAGAGGAUGAUCAGCCAGACUGGGACUGAGAACGGCCCAGACUCCUACGGGAGGCAGCAGUGGGAAUUUUCCACAAUGGGCGAAAGCCUGAUGGAGCAACGCCGCGUGCAGGAUGAAUGCCUUAGGGUUGUAAACUGCUUUUAUAUGUGACGAUUAUGACGGUAGCAUAUGAAUAAGGAUCGGCUAACUCCGUGCCAGCAGCCGC